Molecule: ribosomal RNA, 458 nt
Filed under: uncultured Gammaproteobacteria bacterium
Lineage: Bacteria; Pseudomonadati; Pseudomonadota; Gammaproteobacteria
Description: bacterial SSU rRNA
Rfam family: Bacterial small subunit ribosomal RNA
Source: RNAcentral
GAAGGCUUUCGGGUUGUAAAGCACUUUAAGUAAGGAGAAAAAGAUUGUAGUUAAUACCUGCAAUCCUUGAUGUUACUUACAGAAUAAGGACCGGCUAAUUCCGUGCCAGCAGCCGCGGUAAUACGGAAGGUCCAAGCGUUAAUCGGAAUUACUGGGCGUAAAGCGCGCGUAGGUGGUUUUUUAAGUUGGAUGUGAAAGCCCUGGGCUCAACCUAGGAACUGCAUCCAAAACUAGAUGACUAGAGUACGAAAGAGGGAAGUAGAAUUCACAGUGUAGCGGUGGAAUGCGUAGAUAUUGUGAAGAAUACCAAUGGCGAAGGCAGCUUCCUGGUUCUGUACUGACACUAAGGUGCGAAAGCGUGGGUAGCGAACAGGAUUAGAUACCCAGGUAGUCCACGCCGUAAACGAUGACAACUAGCUGUUGGGAGACUAGAUCUCUCAGUGGCGCAGCUAACGCUU